CAGGUUUAUGACUGAUCCUAUUUGGGAAGAACAAUGAUGGCAUGCAUUCGAGCUUUAUUUAUGUGCUUGUGGUUGCAGCUGGACUGGGUGAGCAGAGGAGAGAGUGUGAGGCCGCAUCUUUCUACCCUGGGUGUCCAGGAGGGAGACAACUCUGUUAUCAACUGUGCUUAUUCAGACAGUGCCUCGGACUACUUCAUUUGGUACAAGCAAGAAUCUGGAAAAGGUCCUCAAUUCAUUAUAGACAUUCGUUCAAAUAUGGACAAAAGGCAAGGCCAAAGAGUCACCGUUUUAUUGAAUAAGACAGUGAAACAUCUCUCUCUGCAAAUUGCAGCUACUCAACCUGGAGACUCAGCUGUCUACUUUUGUGCAGAGAAUACACAUUGCUUUCCAGGCAUCUGUAACCAUCACCCAAACCUGAGAUGCGAGGUGAAGCAGCAUCCCCUUUCCUUUGGAAUGAAUUUUAAUUAUAGCACCUGUCAUUUUGUUUGUUCAUAA
Non-coding RNA from Pongo pygmaeus (Bornean orangutan), 495 nucleotides. NCBI's taxonomy places the organism in Eukaryota, Metazoa, Chordata, Mammalia, Primates, Hominidae. The record is from the annotation of a RefSeq genome assembly.